This is a long non-coding RNA of Octopus sinensis (East Asian common octopus), 159 nucleotides long. RefSeq lists it as uncharacterized. NCBI's taxonomy places the organism in Eukaryota, Metazoa, Mollusca, Cephalopoda, Octopoda, Octopodidae. The record is from RefSeq and is a predicted model, not a curated record. The transcript has 3 exons.
AUUGUAUGAUACAUGUGUGUGAACAGCCAUACUACAAGACAGUGAAACAUGGGCUGUGACUGUUGAAGACAUGUGUAGGCUUGUAAGAAAUGAAGCUAGUAUGCUUCACUGAAUGUGCAAUGUCAGGGUGCAUGUAUGACAGAAUGUAAGCAUCCUGAG